Molecule: ribosomal RNA, 370 nt
Filed under: uncultured organism
Description: bacterial SSU rRNA
Rfam family: Bacterial small subunit ribosomal RNA
Source: RNAcentral
CGGAGGGUGCAAGCGUUAUCCGGAUUCACUGGGGUUUAAAGGGAGCGCAGGCGGACUGGUAAGUCAGUGGUGAAAUACCUGAGCUUAACUCGGGGAACUGCCAUUGAUACUAUCAGUCUUGAAUGUUGUUGAGGUUUGCGGAAUGGGUCAUGUAGCGGUGAAAUGCAUAGAUAUGACCCGGAACACCUAUUGCGAAGGCAGCAGGCUAAACAAAUAUUGACGCUGAGGCUCGAAAGCGUGGGGAUCAAACAGGAUUAGAUACCCUGGUAGUCCACGCCCUAAACGAUGAUUACUCGACAUACGCGAUACACUGUGUGUGUCUGAGCGAAAGCAUUAAGUAAUCCACCUGGGAAGUACGACCGCAAGGUUG